UAAACUAGGAUUAGAUACCCUAUUAUUGGAAAUGUAAAUUAUUCGCCUGAGUAGUAGUAGUUAUGUUCUUGAAAUUCAAAGGAUUUGGCGGUAUUGUAGUCUAUUCAGAGGAACCUGUCCUGUAAUUGAUGAUCCACGUUUAAUUUUACUUGUUUAAUAGGUUUGUAUAUCGUCGUAGUUGGAAUGUUUUAAGAGAAACCGGAAUGUUCACGAUGUUUAAAAAGAACAGGAAAUCAGAUCAAGAUACAGCGGAUAGACAAGGAGAGAUGGGUUACAAUAAAUUUAUUUAUAUGGAAAAAUAAGUUAACACUAUUUUGAAAUUGGAUUUGAGAGUAAUAUGGUUUAGUUAAACUUUAUGAUUUAAGCUCUAUAAUAUGCACAUAUCGCCCGUCGCUCCCACUCUAAAGUGGGAUAAGUCGUAACAAAGUAGGUGUACUGGAAAGUGUACCUAGAACGACAAGUUAGAGCUUGUUACAAAGCAUUUUAUUUACAUUAAAAAGUUAGUUGUGAAACUCAAUUUAGCUUGAUAGCGAAAGGCUUAUUUUUAUAAUUUUAUAUAAAGUAUUAUUUUUGUUAGUAUUUUUUUGAAUACAAAUAUUUAUGUUAUAGUUGAUUAGUACAGUGAUGGUACGUUGAAUAGAAUGAUAUAUUUAAUUUUUGAUAAGAAGACCUAUUUUGUUGUACCUUGUGUAUCAGGGUUUAUCAAAAUAGGUUUUAUAUUAAGUGUUCUCGAAUUGGAAAGAGCUAAUAUUAUAUAUAUAUAAUUGUAACAUAAAUUUUUAUAAUAUAAUAUUUGUAGUGAAACGUUAUUCGUUUUCUAAUAUAUCUAGUUUCUUAAGAAAUAAAUUCAAUUUAGUUUGUUACUUUAAUAGUGUUAAUUAUUUAAUUAUAUUAAGUAAUGAGGAAAUAUCACGAGGGAUAAGCUUCGUGGUAAAUUAUUAUAGUUUAUAAGUUAUUUAAAGGUAAGUAGGAUUGGAAUUGUCUAUCAAUAGGAUGUUACAAUGAACUUUUAUUAAAAUAAGAUUUGUAUUUUACUUAAGUUGUUUAUUAAGAUAAUAUUUUGAAUUAGUUAUGGUAUGUAAUAAUGAUAGAAUUAGUAUAUUUAUUUGUUUGUUUAUAUAAAAGUGAAAGGUUAAGCUAAGGAACUCGGCAAAAGAGUUUUUCGCCUGUUUACUAAAAACAUGUCUUUUUGAUUAUAAUUUAAAGUCUAACCUGCCCAAUGAGUAGUUGAAUGGCCGCGGUAAUUUGACCGUGCAAAGGUAGCAUAAUCAUUAGUUUUUUAAUUGGAAGCUGGAAUGAACGGUUGGACGAGAAAGCGACUGUCUCAGUUUAAUUAUUAUCAGAACUUUAUCUUUGAGUAAGAAAGCUCAAAUUUUUUUAAAAGACGAGAAGACCCUAUAGAAUUUUAUAUUAAUGUUUAUAGUGUAUUUUAUAGAAUUUUUAAGUUACUAUAUGCAAAGAUAUUUUGUUGGGGCGGCAGAAAAAUUAGUAGAACUUUUUUUAGACUAAAACAUAGAUUUAUGGGUGUGUGAUCCAUUGAGUAUGAUUACAAGAUUAAAUUACCUUAGGGAUAACAGCGUUAUUCUUUUUGAGAGUUCUUAUCGAAAAAAGAGUUUGCGACCUCGAUGUUGGAUUAAAAUUAACUUUUGGUGUAGGGGCUAAAUGGUUAGGUCUGUUCGACCUUUAAAAUUUUACAUGAUCUGAGUUCAAAACCGGAGA
Molecule: ribosomal RNA, 1719 nt
Filed under: Anoplognathus sp. NLG-2014
Lineage: Eukaryota; Metazoa; Arthropoda; Insecta; Coleoptera; Scarabaeidae
Description: partial 16S ribosomal RNA
Rfam family: Archaeal large subunit ribosomal RNA (bases 1570-1719)
Source: RNAcentral